GCCUUUUUGCUUUUGGUUCUUGUGAAAUCUAUCAUGUUAAGUCCGAAAUUCUCUAUGUAACAGUGAUACCUUACUACAGUAAGAGUUUUUAUUUUGGGUUCUGAUGACAGUAUACCAUUAAUCUUGCUCUUUCUUUUCUUUCCUUGUCAUGUUAGGUUUUAUUUGUUCCUGAAGAAGGAUCAACUGAUUUAGAGAGUUGAUCUACACAAUUUAUCUUUUUUUAUUCAAUUGGUUCUGCUGUUUAGUUGGUUAUCACAAAUAUCGAAGUACUGAAGUUCGUUGGUUCUAGUCCCAAAGAUGGUCAUCAAUUUCCUUUUCUACUCAACUGUGAUGAUGACUAGCAUGUAGCAAUCUGUUCUUUCUAUAUACUCUUAUUGUGAUACAAGUUCCUUUUUUAGCUGCUUUUGUCAACUCAUAUUUUUACUUUUCAUUUUGCUUUCAAAAGUUUUCUAUAUUUUCCCUUUGCUGAAACCUUAUUAUUGCUGUGAUUUCAUGAUUUGUCAAUAAAUAGGAUUUAUUUGGCAUGCUAGUCUGGUUUGGCGGCUAAUCCUGUGACAGGGAAGUACAUGAAAUAUUGAAAGGUUCAGAAAGAAUAUGCUUUUCAUCUCUAAUAUUGAUAGUUAACAAUUGGAUUCAUGUGAAUUCUAAGCUAGUCUGUUUAGUGUUCACUUUUGGAUUCUUUAUAUAGGAAUUUUUAAUCAUUGGAUAUAAGGGAAAAGGGAAUGAAGAAUUGUACUGGUGUACUAUUCUUAGUUGUGCGAUAUGAUCUCAUUGAUCUGACCUUAGCUAGAAUAGCUACUUCCAUAAAGGCAUGAAGCAAAUGACCGUAGACUGUAGUUGUCCAAACAGGUAAUCCUAGUUCACUGGUUGAAUUCAGCAGGUCAGAUUGCUGUUGUAUAUUUACUUUAAGUCUUCUUUUCGUGACAUGUUAGUAACUAGUAUGAUGUAUCACAUUGGACUCUGUUGUGAGAUUAAAACAUGUUUGAAGUAAUUAGAAUAUAAUGCAUUUCCACCAUAGCAACACUACAAGCACCGACCUUAGCUCAGUUGGUAGAGCGGAGGACUGUAGUUGGUCAAUGACUCACAGGUUAUCCUUAGGUCACUGGUUCGAAUCCGGUAGGUCGGAUUUUUUCUCUCUAUUUCAUCUAUUUUCCUUAAGACGAUUUUCCUUGAGUAUUAAGUUGACUUUGUCUUUACAUUAUUGAACAUGUUUGAAGCAUAUUUGGAAUACAAUAACUUUCCUUACUCACAUUAGACCUUAGCUCAUUGGUAGGCUGGAGGACUAUAGGUGGUAAAUUUCCCACAAAUUAUCUAUAGAUAGCUGAUUUGAAUCUGGCAGAUGGGAUUUCUGUUGUUUUCAUCCUUUUACUCCUUUCCAUGGCAUGCCCAUUAUCUAGUAUGUCUUGGUCUUUAUCAUAAAAUUGUCAAACAUGUUUGAAGCAACGUUACCAUAUAAUGACUUUCUCUAGUCACAUUGCAAGAACCGACCUUAGCUCAGUUGGUAGAGCGAAGGACUGUAGUAGGUAGAUGACCCACAGAUUAUCCUUAGGUCGCUGGUUCGAAUCCGGCAGGUCGGAUUUCUAGUGUUUUAUUCUUUUGUCUUCUUUCUUUGGCAUGGUUUUUCUCCAGUCUUACAUUGACUUUGUCAUAAAGUUAUUAAACAUUUCGAAGCAAGUCAAGCAACAUUACAAUAUAAUGAAUCUUUACAGUCACAUUGCAAAAACCGACCUUAGCUCAGUUGGUAGAGCGGAGGACUGUAGUUGGUAAAUGACCCACAGAUUAUCCUUAGGUCGCUGGUUCGAAUCCGGCAGGUCGGAUACUUUUUUUUCUACUGAUUUCUUGCACACUCUGAGAUGUGAAAUUCUCCAUGGAACAGUGAUGCAUUCCUAGGGUAAUUUCAUACGUUUGUAUUCUGGCUUUUGAUGACACUACAAUAAGUCAAUAAUUGAUUUAUUUGCUUUCUCAUUUCUAAAUUAGCAUGUUGGAUUGUUUAUAUUGCAGAAGAAGGUUUACCUUUUGAUUGAAAGUAUUGAUCUGGAGUUUAUUUUUAUCUAUCUAAUGCUCUCUAAUCGUUCCAUCAUCUAGUUCAUCGUCACAUCAGUCUCACACACUGUAGGUUUCCAGUUUCAGAAUACCCCGUCUAUCUAGCCCCCUCCCCUCCUCUUCUGUGAAGCUGACUGAGCAUGUAUCAACAUGGUCUUCCUACCUUUCGUUAGUAUUAUUGUGAUAUAAGCUUCUAUUGCGUUACAUUUGUAACUUGAUUUCCUUUUGUCUUAGUUUAGAUGAAGCAGAAUAUCUGGUAUAAGCAAACAAUUCACAAAGGAAGCAUUAGAAUUGACAAAUAUCUGUACUUGCAAACACAGCCCUCAGUACAAGAACAGACAAUGAAAACAAGUCCGGGCCAUUGGAUGUGAUUAUGUGAAUGUCUCAAAUAUUACAUGUCGACAGAAGCUAUAAGCUGUUAUUAUUUCUUUAAUUCUGCCAUCUGCUGUUCAAAAAGAAAAUCAAAAUUAAUGCUCUUAUUGAGAGUCGAAUUCAAGACCUCUCGCUUAAUAAAAGGGUACUCUAACCAACUGUGCUACAAGAACGCUUUGCCUUGCUAGUCAAUGGGUUUUUUCAAUUGAUACUUAACAGUUUUUGCCUAAUUCUGCAUAGGCAGUUCUUUUUAGUUUUUCCUGUUUUCAGCUCGAUCGUAUCCAUGACAGGUAGAGUCAUGUUGUGGUCUUUGAAAUUCGGAGUACCAAACUCCAGUGACUGAACUUGUAGUGUUUAUCAGCUCAUUCAGUAUCUUGCAUGAAGUAUAUCUUUCUCCCUGGUGUCAAAUGGGAACUUUUUUACAAUUAGAAGUUUGAUGAAAUUGAUUCAAUAUUCUAUGAUGAAGUUCAGACUGCAAGGAGCUUUGCAUGACAAGGUUGGUCGCUUGUUUGAAAUGUGAAUCUGGCAGCCUGCAGGUCCCUGUUUUGGCCUCUACAAGACUGCAAGUUACUUAUCCUGCAAUUCUUAUUUAAUUUGAAAUCUUCCCAUGAUGGGGUUUUCCUGUUGAACUACCUCAGAUAAUUUCUCUACUCUCAUGGCUGUGAAAUGAUGUCUUAGUCAACAAUAACAUCAUACUUUUUGACUUGCUAAUAACAAACAUAUAACUAAAUUCAAGAAUAAGUAAUGAAAAUUAUGGCAUCAACAGAAAUUGAUGGCGAUUGGGGGCCCCUUAUAUUAAUGCUUUUGGAGCCUACAGUUUUAGGCUUCAAAGGAUAAAAAUCUAGGCUUGGACAUAGAUGGAUACACUUACAUUAACCUCAUGGAGGUUUGUCUUAUUACUCUUUGUCUUUUUUUUUUUAUUAUUAUUUGGUAAGAUGGAUAACCUUUGGACUGUUCUCGCACAAUUCCCAACCCAGAGUCCCAGGCAGGCACUAGGAAGGAGGGCGAGUUGUAAGGAGAAUUCUCCUCCAAGUGCCGCUCGCCUGAUGGGAUUCUAACCCCUGGAGGUAAUGAGAGUACGUAGUACUCUUGUCGUUGUAUGCACUAUCUUAUUUUAAGUUUGGGAAAUACGUGUCGUAAUUCCCUACAACUCAAUAUUUAUCACCAUCUUGCCUUGUA
Molecule: long non-coding RNA, 3594 nt
Organism: Beta vulgaris subsp. vulgaris (sugar beet)
Lineage: Eukaryota; Viridiplantae; Streptophyta; Magnoliopsida; Caryophyllales; Amaranthaceae
Exons: 2
Source: RefSeq, a predicted model, not a curated record